UUGGUCUUGUUAGCCAAAAGAUGAAGACUACCUCUUCCUAGAGUU
Molecule: transfer RNA, 45 nt
Filed under: Pyrilia caica (Caica parrot)
Lineage: Eukaryota; Metazoa; Chordata; Aves; Psittaciformes; Psittacidae
Description: partial tRNA-Thr
Source: RNAcentral